UUUAAACAACGGAUCUCUUGUUUUCUGGCAUCGAUGAAGAACGCAGCGAAAUGCAAUAAGUAAUGUGAAUUGCAGAAUUCAGUGAAUCAUCGAAUCUUUGAACGCACAUUGCGCCCGCCAGCAUUCUGCGGCAUGCCUGUUCGAGCGUC
Molecule: ribosomal RNA, 149 nt
Filed under: Colletotrichum higginsianum
Lineage: Eukaryota; Fungi; Ascomycota; Sordariomycetes; Glomerellales; Glomerellaceae
Description: 5.8S ribosomal RNA
Rfam family: 5.8S ribosomal RNA
About the family: 5.8S ribosomal RNA (5.8S rRNA) is a component of the large subunit of the eukaryotic ribosome. It is transcribed by RNA polymerase I as part of the 45S precursor that also contains 18S and 28S rRNA.
Source: RNAcentral